Molecule: ribosomal RNA, 253 nt
Filed under: uncultured bacterium
Lineage: Bacteria
Description: partial 16S ribosomal RNA
Rfam family: Bacterial small subunit ribosomal RNA
Source: RNAcentral
UACGGAGGAUCCAAGCGUUAUCCGGAUUUAUUGGGUUUAAAGGGUGCGUAGGCGGAUUGAUAAGUUAGAGGUGAAAUGUCCGAGCUCAACUCGGGAACUGCCUCCAAUACUGUUGAUCUAGAGAGUAGAUGCGGUAGGCGGAAUGUAUGGUGUAGCGGUGAAAUGCUUAGAGAUCAUACAGAACACCGAUUGCGAAGGCAGCUUACCAAUCUAUAUCUGACGUUGAGGCACGAAAGCGUGGGGAGCAAACAGG